Molecule: ribosomal RNA, 505 nt
Filed under: uncultured bacterium
Lineage: Bacteria
Description: partial 16S ribosomal RNA
Rfam family: Bacterial small subunit ribosomal RNA
Source: RNAcentral
GACGAACGCUGGCGGCGUGCCUAAUACAUGCAAGUAGAACGCACAGUUUAUACCGUAGCUUGCUACACCAUAGACUGUGAGUUGCGAACGGGUGAGUAACGCGUAGGUAACCUGCCUGGUAGCGGGGGAUAACUAUUGGAAACGAUAGCUAAUACCGCAUAAUAUUGAUUAUUGCAUGAUAAUUAAUUGAAAGGUGCAAUUGCACCACUACCAGAUGGACCUGCGUUGGAUUAGCUAGUAGGUGAGGUAACGGCCCACCUAGGCGACGAUACAUAGCCGACCUGGGAGGGUGGUCGGCCCACCUGGGACUGGAACAAGGGCCAAACCUCUUAGGGGGGCAGCAGUAGGGAAUCUUCGGAAAUGGGCGAAAGUCUGACCGCGCAACGCCGCGGGAGUGAAGAAGGUUUUCGGAUUGUAAAGCUCUGUUGUAAGAGAAGAAAGGGUGUGAGAGUGGAAAGUUCACACUGUGACGGUAUCUUAACAGAAAGGGACGGCUAACUACGUG